CAAUUGUUGCUAAGACGGGAGAGGGCAGAGACUGAGUUAGGGGGCAGCCAUGGUCCCCCUACAUGUUUGGAGUAGCCUUCCCCUCUGUUGCCGAUUACCAGUUGGCCACUGCAAUGAAACUCUGUGAUGCCCACUGUGUGAUGCCCCAGGGUAAUCUUGGCUUUAGGCAGUUGCCUAACUGGUCUGACAUUGGGGCAACCUCUGUGGUUAUAUACUAAAAUGUGAAUUUGCAGACACAUUUUUUUUUUGCAUUUUGCUGAAAUUCGCUUAUAUCCUUACUGACAAAAAUGAGCCAUUGGAUAGACACUAACAAAAAAACCUCCUGGAAUAGCAGCCAUUGAGCG
Non-coding RNA from Pelobates cultripes (western spadefoot toad), 344 nucleotides. The record is from the annotation of a GenBank genome assembly. NCBI's taxonomy places the organism in Eukaryota, Metazoa, Chordata, Amphibia, Anura, Pelobatidae.